GAAACCACUUGAAGUAUCGGAUGUUGAGGAGAUUCGGGUUGACGUUGAUUCCAAUAUGGAAGAUUUGGAUACAAGGCCUCGUCUCUUGACCGAUUUGCCACCCGAGGCGUUGAAGUACAUCCAGCAGUUGCAGUCAGAAUUAUCAGAUCUUAAGGAUGAACUUAAUGCUCGGAAGCAAGAAAAUAUGCAGAUAGAACAUGGCAGAGGAAACAGAAACGAUUUGUUAGACUAUCUGCGGUCUUUGGAUUCUAAUAUGGUCACUGAACUCUGCAAACCAUCUACGUCGGAGGUGGAGGAAAUCAUUCACGAGCUUGUUG
Molecule: unclassified non-coding RNA, 317 nt
Filed under: Hevea brasiliensis (rubber tree)
Lineage: Eukaryota; Viridiplantae; Streptophyta; Magnoliopsida; Malpighiales; Euphorbiaceae
Source: RNAcentral